This 459-nucleotide ribosomal RNA is filed under the name uncultured bacterium. Its description in RNAcentral is "bacterial SSU rRNA". It matches the Rfam family "Bacterial small subunit ribosomal RNA", at positions 28 to 517 of the family's 1533-position model. The record is from RNAcentral.
GAUGAACGCUGGCGGCGUGCCUAAUACAUGCAAGUCGAGCGGCAGCGCGAGUAGUUUACUACUUGGCGGCGAGCGGCGGACGGCUGAGUAACGCGUAGGAACGUACCCCAAGUGAGGGAUAAGCACCAGAAAUGGUGUCUAAUACCGCAUGUGAUCUAAGGAUUAAAGCUUCGGCGCUUUGGGAACGGCCUGCGUUAGAUUAGCUUGUUGGUAGAGGUAAAAGCUCACCAAGGCGACGAUCUAUAGCUGGUCUGAGAGGAUGAUCAGCCAGACUGGGACUGAGACACGGCCAGACUCCUACGGGAGGCAGCAGUAGGGAAUUUUCCACAAUGGGCGAAAGCCUGAUGGAGCAACGCCGCGUGCAGGAUGAAUGCCUUAGGGUUGUAAACUGCUUUUAUAUGUGACGAUAAUGACGGUAGCAUAUGAAUAAGGAUCGGCUAACUCCGUGCCACGCCGCCG